GGACAGUGUCUGGUGGGUAGUUUGACUGGGGCGGUCUCCUCCUAAAGAGUAACGGAGGAGCACGAAGGUUGGCUAAUCCUGGUCGGACAUCAGGAGGUUAGUGCAAUGGCAUAAGCCAGCUUGACUGCGAGCGUGACGGCGCGAGCAGGUGCGAAAGCAGGUCAUAGUGAUCCGGUGGUUCUGAAUGGAAGGGCCAUCGCUCAACGGAUAAAAGGUACUCCGGGGAUAACAGGCUGAUACCGCCCAAGAGUUCAUAUCGACGGCGGUGUUUGGCACCUCGAUGUCGGCUCAUCACAUCCUGGGGCUGAAGUAGGUCCCAAGGGUAUGGCUGUUCGCCAUUUAAAGUGGUACGCGAGCUGGGUUUAGAACGUCGUGAGACAGUUCGGUCCCUA
RNAcentral lists this ribosomal RNA (392 nucleotides) under Escherichia coli. RNAcentral describes it as "partial 23S ribosomal RNA". It matches the Rfam family "Bacterial large subunit ribosomal RNA", at positions 2249 to 2640 of the family's 2925-position model. Lineage: Bacteria; Pseudomonadati; Pseudomonadota; Gammaproteobacteria; Enterobacterales; Enterobacteriaceae. The record is from RNAcentral.